AGCGAACGCUGGCGGCAGGCCUAACACAUGCAAGUCGAACGAACCUUUCGGGGUUAGUGGCGGACGGGUGAGUAACACGUGGGAACGUGCCUUUAGGUUCGGAAUAACUCAGGGAAACUUGUGCUAAUACCGAAUGUGCCCUUCGGGGGAAAGAUUAAUCGCCUUUAGAGCGGCCCGCGUCUGAUUAGCUAGUUGGUUGAGGUAAUGGCUCACCAAGGCGACGAUCAGUAGCUGGUCUGAGAGGAUGAUCAGCCACAUUGGGACUGAGACACGGCCCAAACUCCUACGGGAGGCAGCAGUGGGGAAUCUUGCGCAAUGGGCGAAAGCCUGACGCAGCCAUGCCGCGUGAAUGAUGAAGGUCUUAGGAUUGUAAAAUGCUUUCACCGGGGACGAUAAUGACGGUACCCGGAGAAGAAGCCCCGGCUAACUUCGUG
RNAcentral lists this ribosomal RNA (434 nucleotides) under uncultured bacterium. Its description in RNAcentral is "partial 16S ribosomal RNA". It matches the Rfam family "Bacterial small subunit ribosomal RNA", at positions 29 to 507 of the family's 1533-position model. The record is from RNAcentral.